This 705-nucleotide ribosomal RNA is filed under the name uncultured Bacilli bacterium. RNAcentral describes it as "bacterial SSU rRNA". It matches the Rfam family "Bacterial small subunit ribosomal RNA", at positions 48 to 737 of the family's 1533-position model. Lineage: Bacteria; Bacillati; Bacillota; Bacilli. The record is from RNAcentral.
CUAACACAUGCAAGUAGAACGCUGAAGAGAGGAGCUGCUCUUCUUGGAUGAGUUGCGAACGGGUGAGUAACGCGUAGGUAACCUGCCUGGUAGCGGGGGAUAACUAUUGGAAACGAUAGCUAAUACCGCAUAAAAUGGAUUAUCGCAUGAUAAUGCAUUGAAAGGUGCAAAUGCAUCACUACCAGAUGGACCUGCGUUGUAUUAGCUAGUUGGUGGGGUAACGGCUCACCAAGGCGACGAUACAUAGCCGACCUGAGAGGGUGAUCGGCCACACUGGGACUGAGACACGGCCCAGACUCCUACGGGAGGCAGCAGUAGGGAAUCUUCGGCAAUGGACGGAAGUCUGACCGAGCAACGCCGCGUGAGUGAAGAAGGUUUUCGGAUCGUAAAGCUCUGUUGUAAGAGAAGAACGAGUGUGAGAGUGGAAAGUUCACACUGUGACGGUAUCUUACCAGAAAGGGACGGCUAACUACGUGCCAGCAGCCGCGGUAAUACGUAGGUCCCGAGCGUUGUCCGGAUUUAUUGGGCGUAAAGCGAGCGCAGGCGGUUAGAUAAGUCUGAAGUUAAAGGCUGUGGCUUAACCAUAGUACGCUUUGGAAACUGUUUAACUUGAGUGCAAGAGGGGAGAGUGGAAUUCCAUGUGUAGCGGUGAAAUGCGUAGAUAUAUGGAGGAACACCGGUGGCGAAAGCGGCUCUCUGGCUUGU